CCUACGGGGUGCAGCAGUGAGGAAUAUUGGUCAAUGGGCGCGAGCCUGAACCAGCCAAGUAGCGUGAAGGAUGACUGCCCUACGGGUUGUAAAUUUCUUUUAUAACGGAAUAAAGUGAUGCACGUGUGCCUUUUUCUAUGUACUUUAUGAAAAAGGAUCGGCUAACUCCGUGCCAGCAGCCGCGGUAAACCGGAGGUUCCGAGCGUUAUCCGGAUUUAUUGGGUUUAAUGGGAGAGUAGAUGGGAUGUUAAGGUAGUUGGGAAAGUUUGGGGCUCAACCGUAAAAUUGCAAUUGAUACUGGGGGUCUUGAGUACAGCUGAGGUAGGCGGAAUUCGUGGUGUAGCGGUGAAAUGCUUAGAUAUCACGAAGAACUCCGAUUGCGAAGGCAGCUUACUAUACUGCCACUGACAUUGAUGCUCGAAAGUGUGGGUAUCGAACAGGAUUAGAUACCCGGGUAGUC
RNAcentral lists this ribosomal RNA (460 nucleotides) under uncultured bacterium. Its description in RNAcentral is "partial 16S ribosomal RNA". It matches the Rfam family "Bacterial small subunit ribosomal RNA", at positions 338 to 795 of the family's 1533-position model. The record is from RNAcentral.